UACACGCACUUACAAUAGAGAGAAAUCGCGUGGGUGAGAGCCAGUGGGAGCGCGACAUGGAGGAAGAGAGCAAAACAAGGAUGUUAUCAGAAAGGAUGUUCUUUAGCUCCACGGUGUUACAUGGGGAUUGAGCUUGUUAUACGCUAUGGAUAACAAAGGCCACAAAGCUUCAGUUUCCACUCAAGUUGAUGGGAUGAAGCAUGGUAUGAGUGUAAUUAUAAGAAAUGCAAAGAUAGAUAUGAAUAAGGAAGCAUGAGGCGAGGUUGACAAAUGAGGUUGCUAAGAGGUCACCAAACCUGUUUAGUUUUAAGUCAUGAAGGACAAUAACCUUUCUCUGGUCAUGUAUGAGCUGGUGACUGUUGUUGAUCCCAACUCAAUACUUGCACCAGUGCUAAGAAGGUUGAGAAAUGAAGUUGGCUGAUUUCUGUCAUGCUACUAGCUGGAAUGCAAUAAGUAGUGGUACUGUUUGCAACCUAGAAAUGUAAAGUUGAAGCUAAUGACUUGUGCUUUUGAAUAUUGCAUUCUGCCUUUAUGGAUUUUACAUAUAUUCAGUUUAUAUUUUUAAAUUGAACUAAACCUUUUAGCAAGACGGUUUUGUACAUUGCCUUGUCUUUACUUAUAGCUCGACGGUUUUGUAGCAAUAUUUUUUGGAGCUCCUAUUCCUCAUCUGAGUUUCA
Long non-coding RNA from Daucus carota subsp. sativus, 677 nucleotides. RefSeq lists it as uncharacterized. NCBI's taxonomy places the organism in Eukaryota, Viridiplantae, Streptophyta, Magnoliopsida, Apiales, Apiaceae. The record is from RefSeq and is a predicted model, not a curated record. The transcript has 4 exons.